Orcinus orca (killer whale) is the source of this 1244-nucleotide long non-coding RNA. RefSeq lists it as uncharacterized. The record is from RefSeq and is a predicted model, not a curated record. Lineage: Eukaryota; Metazoa; Chordata; Mammalia; Artiodactyla; Delphinidae. The transcript has 3 exons.
CAUUGCAUCUGCAUCCUUCCUCUCUCUGCCUGGAUGGACCAUCUCUGCUCCUGUCAAAAGCGAAGCCCUCCCAUCCUGUCUCAGCUGAAAGAUCUACUAAAAGAGGAGCGGAUCACAUGGGAUGAAGGGCGGAGCUCAGUGGCUUAGGAUGACGGAGCAGAAGGAUUCACUGCGGAAAGCUGGCUUGGCUUGGUGCUCAUCUGCCCCUGAGUGAGCUAAGCUCAUCUGCUUUUUGCCUUCUGUCAAGUCAGCUCUUCUCUGAAUUCAAGUAGAAGUAUGAGAAUUUCUUGCCACCUCGGGCUGGAAGUUUGCUGUUAUCACCGCUUGAGAUACCACAAGCAGACUGUAUUUCCAAACGGAAAGCAGCCCUCUCAACGCCUGCCCCGCCAGGGCAGGGCAGACAGGCACUGGGGACACCAGGGGGGUUUGCCAUCUCAGGUGGCGUCUGCGGAGAGUGAGUGCGAAGCAGCAGGAGCUCAGAUGUCGCCACGUAGCAGAAGCGCCUGGAUCAGCUGCUGGGUCUGCACGUGUGUUGAUACAUCCCUUCCUAGGCCACCUGGACGUUGUCAAUCAACAACAAGCAUUUGAUGACCGACCCUACUGUGGAGUCAGCACUGUCAGCCUCUACCCCUUUCUCGUUUUCUAGCUGAUGCUAUUUGAGGCAUAUAUAAGGGGUGAGAGCCUGGUGCCCAUUUCCCUGGGGGGCCUGGGGCCUGAGCUCACCACUCUGCACCCCGACGAUGACAACUCCAUCAAAGUCGACUGCCUCCCUUCGGGACCCCACCACCGUGGUGGAGCAGAAGAUACAUGAUUCGCUGCAGUAAGAUACAGACACAGUGCGCGGGACGUGGAGAUGUGCUGCCCAGACGGCCCCUCCGGGGAGGAGUGUGGACAGCAGACUGUUGUCAGCUGUUAGCCCUUCCAGGUCUGCCUCAGCUGCAGAGAGCUGCCCCGCCCCCCGCCGCCAAGGCCAUGUCCACAUCCAGUGACUGACUGAGGCAGGUGUAUAAAGGCCUGGCUAUCUGGCCCAGGGCCCGACAACUCAGAUGGGCCUCCCAGUCUUUUGGUCUCUUUGUUCUCUUCUUUUCAGAGGUGCUAAUCCUAAAGGCCUUCCCCAAUAAACACCCACAGCCUUAAUUCUGUUUCAGAGUCUGCUUCCUAGAGAACCCCACUUGCAACACAUGAGUUUGAAUUUCAGCUGGACUAAUUAGGAGGUCUGUGACCUGGGGGAGGCAAGAACUUGU